Molecule: long non-coding RNA, 2795 nt
Organism: Temnothorax curvispinosus
Lineage: Eukaryota; Metazoa; Arthropoda; Insecta; Hymenoptera; Formicidae
Exons: 5
Source: RefSeq, a predicted model, not a curated record
CUGCAAUCAGAAUUAAUAUGAACGUUUUAAAAAUUAUUUUAUACUGAAAUAAAUAAAUAUACAGGCUAAUAAGUCUGUAGCUAUAAGCGAUAGUUGCUAAUUAAGUUUGUCACUCAUAUUUUCAUCUUGCAGAGGACCUCCGUAACGAGAUCAAAGAUGUACACCAGCUGUGCAGGGUGAAGAGGUUAUCUCAAACGCCCUUAAUUGGGCCACAGUCCAAUUACGAGCGACUCAAAUGUCAUUACCGCUGAGAAGUACUUCUUGCCAUUUGAGUCAGCAUGUCAGAGCUAGUCACUACGGAUUGUGGUGACACAGCACUGGACUGCCUGCAGAAGUUAAUCGCAUAUAGCCAUCUCACUGGCAAUGUGCCUGAUUCAACGGAGCCUAACAAGCUGCUGAUUGUGCGCAUUGUCGAGACAAUUUGCGGUUGCUUCACCGGUCCACCGACCGAUGAGAGUGUGCAGCUGCAGAUUAUUAAAGCUCUGCUGACUGUAAUGACAAGCCAGCAUGUGGAGGUAUACGAGGAUACGGUACUGUUAACAAUUCGUACUGUUUACAACGUUUACUUGUCGUCGCGCAACCUGGUGAAUCAAGCAACAGCCUGUGCGACUCUCACGCAGAUGAUCAACGUGAUCUUCGCGCGAAUGGAGACUCAGGCGGAGGAAGAUAACGUGAGGCUUGAUGGGGAACAUCAGCAGGAGGGUUCUGUCAUAGCAAACGGCAAAACUGAAGCUGAGCUAAGUCUUAGAGCCUCCGCAUAAGACUUUCGUAUGGUAACGUAGUGUAACGAAACGUGGGUCAACGCACAAGAAACGUAUCGGUUACGGCGUUAUACGUCAAUACGUUUCUUGUGCAUUGAUCUACGUUACGUUACUAUACGAAAGUUUUGUGCGGAGGCUCUAACCGAUACGUUUCUUGUGCGUUGAUCCACGUUAAGUUACGCUACGCUAUAUACGAGAGUCUUGUGCGGAGGCUCUUAGUUAGCUAAGUCUAACUAGCUCAUCUUCAUGAAACUUUACGUUGCGUGCGUCUAUUUAAUGACGAUGGAUGUAGAAAGCUCUUCAAAUCACUUCGAGAGGAUUAUCAAAAGCGAUCUCCAUAUAUCGCAUAUUUAAUCAGAUGUCGUCAGGGAUUGCUGUUGACAUUAGCUCACUUAGAUAGAUUAUGCGUGCGAGUUAAGUGCGAUCGGGAUGCUAUCAAUAAUCAUCUUGUAUCCGUUUGUGUGAGGGUAUUUUUGGAAAAAAAAGAAAGCUUUCCUCCUGCGAAGAGUUUAAAAAGCUUACGCUAGCUGACGAGAAACAGGUUCUCAUGGAUAAUUUUAUAGAGAAGGUCCACGUAGAAAUGGACAACGAUCCGAUUUGGCAAUCGGCAAGCGCCAACCAGUUAGAUUUGGCGAGAGUCGUAGUGGAAAGAACCGUCAUGGCACGGGUAUACCACAAUACGCUCUAUCUAAAUGAAGAUGGAGAUGUAUAUAGGGACCAGCUUUUUCACGGUCAUAUCAAUAAGUUGGCAAAGGUCGUAACUUCAAAUCACAGGGACCUACGCAUUUCAAAAGUUUAUCAUUACGAAUGCCCCUAGUCAUGGGCGCAGGCUGAAUUGGCUGUGAUAUCGGUGUAUAAGACUCCUAGGGAUAAGUUGCAGUGUGUAUUUUGUUGCGCGACUACCAUCAUGAAUCUCUUUUCCAUGGCGUCGGAAAGAGGCAUACCUGCUGCCGACGAUCUGACUCCCGUGUCUACAGACUAAUUCGCCGUCGUUGUAUCGACUGUUCAAUAUGUAGACAGCUUUUACGGGAAUCGAUUGGAGGGAGAAGAACAAUAUUGGUGGACGCAGUUCUGCGCCGCGAUCGAGUUAAGACAAUGGAUUAACAGUUUCUCAAGAGUAUCACGAUAAAUAAGAUUAGAUUCGAUGCUGGUGAUAAUGUAGAAAUGUAUCAUAAUCAUAAUUUGACGAUUUCAUAAAGAAGAAGACCAAUAUCUUGUGUAAAGCUAGCUGAACAGUUUUAUGCUUCCAGUAUCAAUUAAAAUUCUUAAAUAGCCUCUUAAAUAGUCUGUUAGUUCUUUCGCACGUUAUUAUGUAACAUUAGCAAAGACUGAAUUAGAUUAUACGUAAAGUGUGGCUUUAUCUUUAUUUGUAACUCUAUUGUACAAUAUGUCACAGGACAUCGAAAAAAAAAGAAACGUUUAGAUAUUCUAUAAUUUAUGUACAAUACAGAACUUAUAGAGAAUUGAUAACCAUUUAGCAGGAUAAACUGUGUUGGCGUACUCUUUCUACAUGCGCACCUUCCUCAAGAGCCGAGACUCAAACCAGAUCCGUGAAAAAUAUCGCCAAUUUCGUAGAGCUUUUGUACAGUUUUACUCUAGGAAUAUCGCGAGAGAAAGAAAGACUUCGGAGAUUUUUAUCUGAAUCGAUCAACAUAAAGAGAGAGCAUAGUAAAGAAGCUAUUAGCUUUCGAGAAUUUGAAUGCAUAAUACUUUGUUAUAAUACUAUGAGCGAAUUAGUUUACGUCACUCUGUCAAGUUUUAAUAUUAAAUUACUAAUAAUAUAUCGAUAUCGGUAGUUUAAUAAUAAUACAUUUAAAAGCGCUCAAUUUAAAAGUAGGGCAAUCCUAAUAAACGACUGUAAAAAAAAAUUCAAGGUGGAACGCAAUGGACAAUCCGGUUGCUCUGACAUGCUAACUUAAAUGGCAAAAAGUACUUCUCAGCGGUAAUGACAUUUGAGUCUCUUUUAAUUGGGUUGUGGCAGGGCGUUUGAGAUAACCUGCUCUUCACCCUGCACAGCUGACGGACCUUCGGGAA